AGGUGCGAUCAUACCAGCACUAAUGCACCGGAUCCCAUCAUAACUCCCCAGUUAAGCGUGCUUGGGCAAGAGUAGUACAAGGAUGGGUGACCUCCUCGGAAGUCCUCGUGUUGCACCUC
RNAcentral lists this ribosomal RNA (119 nucleotides) under Lupinus angustifolius (narrow-leaved blue lupine). Lineage: Eukaryota; Viridiplantae; Streptophyta; Magnoliopsida; Fabales; Fabaceae. The record is from RNAcentral.